AUACAGAGGGUGCGAGCGUUAAUCGGAAUUACUGGGCGUAAAGCGCGCGUAGGCGGCUUAUUAAGUCAGAUGUGAAAUCCCCGGGCUCAACCGGGGAACUGCAUCUGAUACUGGUAAGCUAGAGUUUUGGAGAGGGAAGUAGAAUUUCAGGUGUAGCGGUGAAAUGCAUAGAGAUCUGAAGGAAUACCAGUGGCGAAGGCGACUUCCUGGCCAAAAACUGACGCUGAGGUGCGAAAGCGUGGGUAGCAAACGGGAUUAGAAACCCUAGUAGUCC
RNAcentral lists this ribosomal RNA (274 nucleotides) under uncultured bacterium. RNAcentral's name for it is "partial 16S ribosomal RNA". It matches the Rfam family "Bacterial small subunit ribosomal RNA", at positions 523 to 796 of the family's 1533-position model. The record is from RNAcentral.